This 274-nucleotide ribosomal RNA is filed under the name uncultured bacterium. RNAcentral's name for it is "partial 16S ribosomal RNA". It matches the Rfam family "Bacterial small subunit ribosomal RNA", at positions 523 to 796 of the family's 1533-position model. The record is from RNAcentral.
AUACGGAGGGUGCAAGCGUUACUCGGAAUUACUGGGCGUAAAGUGCGCGUAGGUGGUCUGUUAUGUCAGAUGUGAAAGUCCACGGCUCAACCGUGGAAGUGCAUUUGAAACUGGCAGACUUGAGUACUGGAGGGGGUAGUGGAAUUCCCGGUGUAGAGGUGAAAUUCGUAGAUAUCGGGAGGAAUACCGGUGGCGAAGGCGACUACCUGGCCAGAUACUGACACUGAGGUGCGAAAGCGUGGGGAGCGAACAGGAUUAGAAACCCUGGUAGUCC